CGGAGGGAUCAUUAAAGAGUUCUAUAACUCCCAAACCCAUGUGAACAUACCUAACGUUGCCUCGGCAGGUCGCACCUACCUUGUAGCACCCUACCCUGUAGGGCCUACCCGGGAGGUGCGGGUAAGCCUGCCGGCGGCCCACCAAACUCUGUUUGAUAUUGAAUUCUGAACCUAUAACUAAAUAAGUUAAAACUUUCAACAACGGAUCUCUUGGUUCUGGCAUCGAUGAAGAACGCAGCGAAAUGCGAUAAGUAAUGUGAAUUGCAGAAUUCAGUGAAUCAUCGAAUCUUUGAACGCAUAUUGCGCCCAUUAGUAUUCUAGUGGGCAGGACCGUUCGAGCGUCAUUUCAACCCUUAAGCCUUCGUUGCUUAGUGUUGGGAGCCUACGGCAACGUAGCUCCUCAAAGUUAGUGGCGGAGUUGGUUCACACUCUAGACGUAGUAAUUUUUUAUCUCGCCUAUUAGUUGGACUAAUCCCCUGCCGUAAAACCCCUAAUUUAUCAAGGUUGACCUCGAAUCGGUUCAGACAAACUCGCUAAAUUGAAGCAUCUUAGUCAGCGAAGGAAAAGAAACCAACAGGGAUUGCCCUAGUAACGGCGAGUGAAGCGGCAACAGCUCAAAUUUGAAAUCUGGCCCU
Molecule: ribosomal RNA, 635 nt
Filed under: fungal endophyte
Lineage: Eukaryota; Fungi
Description: eukaryotic LSU rRNA
Rfam family: 5.8S ribosomal RNA (bases 191-344)
Source: RNAcentral